AGGAAUGGGGAGGGGGAAGAGAGGCAGAGGUGGAGGAGAUAGGUGGGAGGAAAGAAAUGGUGGGUGGAGAUUGAGGUUGGGGUUGGUGUUAGGGAAUAGGGACAGAGGAGGUGAAGAAGCAAGCAACGAUGGCCAUGUUUGGGAGGAGGUGAGUAGGGGUGUGAGACAUGUGUUUGGAUUUGGUUUACAAAUUUGGUUUGGUUGGUUGUUUAAGAAGUAGAAUGUGGUUUCCUUCUUAUGUUUUCUUUCUCGCUUUUCAAUUGAGUGUGUUAUUGUUGUCAAAUUCAGUGAAAAUUCAAAGAGCUUUCGUCACCAGUUUUUUAGCAUUUGGCAUCCACAUUUCUUUCUUUCCUCACUUCAAUUUUUUUUUU
This 371-nucleotide unclassified non-coding RNA is filed under the name Hevea brasiliensis (rubber tree). Lineage: Eukaryota; Viridiplantae; Streptophyta; Magnoliopsida; Malpighiales; Euphorbiaceae. The record is from RNAcentral.